RNAcentral lists this unclassified non-coding RNA (361 nucleotides) under Hevea brasiliensis (rubber tree). Lineage: Eukaryota; Viridiplantae; Streptophyta; Magnoliopsida; Malpighiales; Euphorbiaceae. The record is from RNAcentral.
GCACUAAAAUUUUCAACACAAUAUGUGCAUCGUGCAUCUUUUUAUAUGUUUUCUGAGAGUUUCUUUGUAAUUUUUUUAUCGCUUUUAUUUUUAUUAAUGUCAUUCAUUUUGCACACAAGAUUUUGGGUUCAAAGGUAGGUCUUGUUUUUUUGGAAAAUUUCUAUUCCUUUUUAGUUAUCUUGUGAUAACAAAAAUUUUAUAAUAUUUCUAUCUGUUCUCUAGUUUUCAUUACCUUUCAUCUCUUAUAGCAUUCCAUAAUCUCAUUAACUUUAGAUGGUCAUUUAAGCUGCAAGCAUGGCAUUGGCAAGUCUAUGAUAGAUGAUGAUCUGUAUGGGUUAGAUUGCUUAAUUUAUCAGUUUCU